RNAcentral lists this long non-coding RNA (336 nucleotides) under Oryctolagus cuniculus (rabbit). Its description in RNAcentral is "lncRNA (ENSOCUG00000038618.1)". Lineage: Eukaryota; Metazoa; Chordata; Mammalia; Lagomorpha; Leporidae. The record is from RNAcentral.
GCUCAGUGCCAGACCUGCCAUGAGACUACAGAGCACAUAAAGCCUGAAGGCCUGUAUUCCCAGGUACUGCUCCUGAUCACAACUUCUGUCUCUGUUUCAGCACCUCAUGGAGACAUGAACCAAGGAUAAAGAAUGAAAACCAACAGAUUUUCUUAGCCAAGAGAGGAAAAUUUGGAAGACAUAAAAGAGAUAUUCCCAGAAUACUACACAAAGAACCAGGGGAUUGUGCAGCCUUGCUUCAGCCAGGAAGAGAUUGGAGAUGCUUCAUUCGCUCUUUGAAACAUGCAGACUGAUGCCCUCCGCAUGUGUUUGUAUUCAAAUACCAAUGAGCAAGGA